Molecule: long non-coding RNA, 11110 nt
Organism: Dromaius novaehollandiae (emu)
Lineage: Eukaryota; Metazoa; Chordata; Aves; Casuariiformes; Dromaiidae
Exons: 3
Source: RefSeq, a predicted model, not a curated record
ACUUUCACACUUGUCAUCUAUUUGAAUCCACAUAAGGCGUUAGUAAAAUCAACAGACAGACAGCAAUGAUGAAAGCCCAACUAAAGCAGAGUUUUGAAUCUCUGCACUUUCUUCUAAAGAGAGAAAAAAAAAAAGGAAGAAACAUUAGAAAUUGGAUGAAUUCAGCUAAAAACUUAGUAUUCAUUUUAGUUGUAAGGUACACAAUUAAUGUGAUAAGAGGUUGUACAUAACAUUGGAGAGAGAAAAAGUAGGAGGAUAUUAGGUUGUCCCUCUUUUCCUUUCAUGUGUCUAACCUUCCUCUCCCAUUUGUCUUCUCAGAAGGGUGCUCCGGUCCUUCUCCAGACUCCUUCCUCUCUCUACAACAUAGUACCUGUCUCAGGCAGCUUCCAAGCUCACAGCUCUUCCCUACAUCCCUCAGUCCAGUUUCGUCAGUGAGCCGAGGUGGAUGUACUGGUACACAAACAAGAGAGACAAAGCGUUGGACCUAGGCUUCUUACCCCCUCGAUGUACUGAUGCAGUAAAGCAGCAAGGCAUCACGUGGACACAAUCAGUGAAAACAAAAAGCCAGAUAUCUAGCCUGUCCAGAUUGCAUCAGCCAUCCUGUAACUCACUGCCAAAGCCAAUGUCACCAAACUUGAUGGGAAAUAUGAAAAAGAGGACAAUGUGCUCAUUCAAGUGAAGGGUUGAAAGCAAACUGUUUAAGUUUUUCUGAUCUGAAAAGGGACUUUGACAUGGUGAGUGGACCUGGAUUUUGAAUUGAUAGAAAACAUGCAUUUUCUGAUGGAAAACUCAGCUAUUCAGGAAACAGCCUGCUGUUCUGCUGGAUUCAUAAAAACAGCAAUGUACUGUGCAUGCCAGAACAAAGAUUGUCAGAAUCAUUUCUUGUCUCUUUUCUACCUUCAUAAUUUGCCUAAAGAUGCUGGUUAAGUAGGUUUGAAAGCUCCAGAUGGGCUUGGGAUUUGUGUUGGCACUGUGGGAGGGUUGCUUUGCUCCUCCAAGCUAUGUGUAGGUCUGAGAUUACCAAAUGGGUCACAGAGGAACUUUCGUUUGCCAGUGAGUGCACACUGAAGCAGGAUCUUCUGCUAAUGGAAGAUCGAACUGCUGCCUCUGCAACUAGAUUAGGAGUAAUCAUCAAUGAAAAUGUUUUGAAUGAUCAGGUCAACAUUUAUGGACAAGUAGCCGUUAAUUAUCCAGAAAGCUAGGUAGUCAGUGUGAAAUCAAAUCUUCUUUCUUCUCCCAUGCUAACAGCACACAUCUACCCCUCCUACACCAUUGUACACACUUAGAUGCAGUAACAGAAGCAUGUUACUCUGUUUAGAGAUUAUUCAUAAUUUCAGAGGAUUAUUUUAGUUCUUAAAGGAGUAUUAACUGCUUUGGCCAGUCUGACCAUAGGAGUCCUACCUAAAGGUGACUGCAGUGGAGUGAAUUCCUUUCCUUACCUACAAUGGGCUUUGGAUCAGAUGCAGAUCAGAAAUUUUACAUCAGGCAUCUUUUCACCCUGCUGACAGAUUUCACCAAAUUUGGCAGAAUGCCACUUGCAUCUAUUGAAGUACUACUAAUAACAAGCCAGGUGUAACGUACUAGGCACAUAGCUUGGAUGGAUGACACAGGGUUGCUCAGCAGCAUCUGUCUAAAGAUCUAUCACAUGGAAAAAAGAAAGCAUGAUUUCUCAACAAUAUGUUUUAAAGAUACCUGAAAGGAACACUUGAGUGAGUGUAACUUCCUGGCAAAUUCUUCUAGCUUUUAGCCACAAAGAGACAAAAAUGGAAUAGAAAGAUGAGGAAAGCAGUGGACUUCUUGGCCAAAAAACCUUUCAAUGUGAAAGGUGCCUCAGCAGCAAAACAUUGGUUUGCACUGGGCAGAGCUAUGAAACAUUCACUAAAAAACAUAUAGCAGACUUAUAAGCCACGUACACAGUUCCUAAGCUUGCUUUGCUCUCCUGCUGUAUACCACACAAAAUUUUACUAAAAUAAUUACAUCAAGCUGAAUCAACACCUCUUUCUAAUUUGGUACAUGUCUCCAUGCAGAUAUUUUUGUUUUGGAUUAAGCGUCCUGUGUCAAUUUACUCUGUGUUGUGUUUCCCUCUAUUUCAGCACAGUUUAAUUCAACAGAACAAUAGAACACAUGCAAUUUCAAGACUGGCCUCAAAUAACUAUCAAACGAUUUGAAUAGAAGACAGUUUUGUUGUUUUGGUGAAAUUAUUUGCAUGGAUGCUUCUCAGCGUGGACAGCGAGGGUCUGAUCCAAAGUCCAUUGUACAUAAGGAAAGGAAUACAAUCUACUCCAGUCAGUUUUAGGUAGGACUCCCGCAGCCAAAUGGCCAAAGCACUUAAUACUCCUUCAAGAACCAUUGUAAUCCCUGACAUUUUGAAUAUAAAUUAAGAGUAAUGGUAAAUCAGGAUUUAGGCUGGUACUCCUCCAGCAGAAGUUCACUAGUGUGAAAUGACUACUGGGUGCUCCUAGGACUGCAGGUUUCACACACCCACCAGGUGCUGUUCAAGAAAAGUUACUGCAGGGUGGGGAGGUCCUACCUGGGCAAGGGAGACACAUACCUCUGUCCUUCCACCAGAAGGAGAGCUCUCCACUCAUGAGUGGGGGGGUCUGAGCUAAGGAGUGGUGCUUUCAUUCUCAGAAAUACAGUGUGAAUUUGGCUCCUGCAUCCUCUCCAACCACAGGAACAGAAACAAGCAUGUCAUGUUUGCACUUCUCCACGUUUCUGCACAUAUCUGGGCUAAACUCUGAUGCAUUUCCUUGAAGGUUUACAAUUCAUCUCAUAAUUCCUCCCAGAAAGUACAGAAUAUUAGUAGGAGUAGUUGUUGCAUUCAAGAAUUGACUAUAGCAUAAUAUUUUGGCUUUUGGGGGCGGAGGGGGGAAGAUGAGAUUGCUAGGAAUCAGUCUGGCGUCAGCCAUUAUUUUCCAAGUUGUGAGUUAAACCCUGAUCAUUAAAAGGUCUCUUGUGUAAAAUUAUAAGCCUUUACAUUUUAGCUGGACCCUAUUGAGAAAAAAUCUUUGACAGCCAUUCCUCAGGGGCUGUUAGUUUAUUUAGAAAGAAAAUGAGUCUCUUGAGAAAAACAGAGCAUUUAGUGAAUGAAAAAAAAAAAAAACGGAUGGGUUUGACCUCUUAAUGGUGGGCUUAUUUCUUUUGCAUCCUGUGAAGCUCACUUUAACUUGGUGGCAACUAUGACAGUAUUAUGAAAUAACAAAGUAGAUUUUGUAAUUUAGCUUGCUUCUUUACUUGUGGAUUAUAAAUAUAUACAUUUAUGCAUGGAAGUGCAUGUUGAAACAAACUACCACUGACAGAUAGUCUUAGUAUUAAAGGAUUUAAAUAAGACUAACAUUAUCCUUCAUAAUACCAGUAUGAGUUGUUCAUUAUGAGGUGAAAUUGUGUAAUGCUCUGUUAGUUCCUUACAGCUACUUAAUAAGCAUAAUUGAGGACAUUAGUCAUGUUCAUCUCUUUCUGGACAUUCUUGGCUUCCCUUUCUGCUACUUCCGAUGGUUCUUGAGGGUAAGUAAAGCUGUUUGUGAUCUAUUUAAAAUCACAUAAAUAUAUUUAAAAUUAGUAUAUGUGUAUAUAACAAUUUCUGGCUUUGUGAUGGAAGUUGAGGUGCUUGAUUUACUUAUCUUUAGUAUUAGGUGAUUCUUCUUAAUAAAUUUGAAUGUGGGUUUCAUGCUUGGUACAAAGUGUUACUUUAUGGAUGGUUGUUCUUUGUUAGUAAGUCUUCCAUGAUCUUGUCUAGGCAUUUGUACAACUUUCAGUGAAUAGGAGACCUGGUUCCUCUCUUUUUGUUUAUGUUUAUUGUAGAAAGAGGUAAAAAGAUAAGAAUGUUAUUGAGCUGAUGCAUUAAAAAAUUAUAUGGUUACACUUCAGACAUAAAUAAUAUAUCAUUGACCAAUUCAGAUGAGGCUGCAUUCACUCAUAAAGUUGAGGCUUGGGAAUAAAAUUGUGGGAGGUAGGCACUGAUACCACAUAGAAUGCUAUGAGGGUGCUCUGUAACAUGUUGCAUUAUAUACACCCUGAGAGUGCUUUUAAAAUCAAAACUAAAAUAACUAUUUCGUUCAAGCAUUUAAGAAUAGAGUUAGAAAAAAUUAUUCACAAACCUGAGCAAAUCUCUGUAAAAGCUCUUCAGAAUACCUUGCUAUAUCUCUUAUGAGUGAUGGAUAAAUAGAAGAAGAGACAUAUGUGGUCAUCAUAUAAAAAGUGCAAAAAGUAUAGCUAUAUUAAGAAACUCAUCAAGAAAACAUAAUAUAUUCAAGAACAAAUAUUGUUUGAUCAAAUGUGGCUAAAAACUUUGUGAUAAUGUUGGCUAGCAUACUUUCUACAACAAACUGAAUAUAUCUUUACAUCUGAUCUCUCAUAACUGUCAUUUUUGCCUUGCUGUCACAUCCAGUAUCUAAAUAUAUUAGGGUGAGCUAUGAAUUGGAAGAAAAUUUUUUCUAAUGAUACACUUAAAAUGACCUAGAGAGCAAACACUGGAAUAAAGAUAUUCUUCUGUGACAUUAACCUAAAAACACUAGCAUGUGACCUUUUGGGUCAUAUCUGAGUAGAUAAGACAAACGAGGAGAGGGAAAGUGGUUGAUAAUAGUUAAAUAAUAGAAAAUAAUUAGGAUCUGAAAGUGCAGAAAAAAUAAGAAGGGAAAAAAAAGAGGAUCUAGGAAAAAAUUAAUAGCUGCCCAAAUAAUGAUAAAAAAGGGUGCUUUUGAUCAGCUUAGGUCCAUUUCUAGGUGGAAAUUAGAGAUUUGUUACAAAUGCUGCAAUAAAAUAUCUUUCUGGAUAUUUUUUGUGGUGCUUUUGUUCACAUCCAGUUCUUGAAGGAAGCAGAGGAGGGAACAGACUGUGUAUUUUUUACAUUUUGAGUACUCUCAUAACCAGUUUACUGAGGGGGAACUCUUUUCAGGACCUGAAAUUCCAUGUUGGAAUUGAGGAUAUUUUUUCAAAAAAAAAAAAAAAAAGAGAGAGAGAGAGAGAGCGCGCAAUAGAUUGCAAUGUAUAGUUUCAGCUUUGGAAAAUUUAUAUUUCUUGGUAAAAUACUACUUUAAAAUACUUAAUCACAGUUCUCUCUCAGAGCAAAGAAAACUGGCAGUAUUUACAAAAUGCUCUGGGAAGACUUUGGAAACAAAUUUCUCUAAAAUACAAAGAACAGAAUCAUGUGGAACUUCUCUGUAGAACCUAAUCUGUGGAAUUUAUUCUCCUGUGUGGCUGAAAGAUUACAGCAAUUUAUGGACAAACAAGAAAAGGCGCAGUGUGGAAACAACGCUUUACAAGCCUGCCAGUGUUCACAAUUAGAUUUUGAAAUACUAGAGACAGUUCAGAAGAACUCCAUGGGAAUAAUUAAAGUUUCAGGAAAUUUUUCUAUAGCAAGUGCCUCAGGGAGCUCAAUCUUCUUAAUUUAUCAGAGAAAAAGUUGAUCUGAUUGUGACUAUCUAUAUAAUAAAAUGCUUCGCAGAUUGACGAGGCAGUAGCAUAUAAGAAGAUAUUGGAAGCUAAAACUAGACCAAGCCCGACUACAAAAAAAGACAAAUUUUUAGCAGCAAGGAAAAUUAAUCAUUAGAACAUCAUGUCAAAUUUGUGUUAGUUCAUUCAUCACUGAACACUUUAAAAUCAAGAUUGUUUGAGUUUCAUUUUUGUCUAAUGCUCCAGUUUGGCUACAAAAGCUUUAAGACAGAAAGUUUCAUAAAUUAGCUUAGCACGAUGGAUUUCAUAAUCGCUGUAUCUACUGCCACCCCCAACACAGCAUGAAGUUCAGAGAUAUAAUAUAAGUUUAAAAGAUAGACAUACAUCUACUUCAACAGUAAAUGUAAGUCAAAGCAUGGAAGUAGAUCACUAAAGAUUGAAGAGUAAGAUAAAUAGUUGUAUAGAUAUUCUGAUACUUGAGCGUGUCUAUUAUUAUAGCUUAUACUGCCUGUGACAAAGCUCUUGUGCAAAAUAUAAAAAAAAACUAUUAAAACCUUUUGAUACUCACUGCUGAAAUUGUUAUCACUGCAGUGAUAUAAAAUAAGAAGAAAUUACAAAAGCAAUUGAUGAAAAACAGAAUUUGUCUUAAUCUACCAAUAUCAAUAUCUUUCUGGCUUAUGUUAUGUAUGCUUUGGACAGCAUUGUUGCAAUUCAUGAGAAAAGUAUAAAAAUAUUCGAAUAAAAAAUUAAUUCACAGAGUAGCCUUUAAAGCUUGGUAGAACUGAAAAAUUUUUUAUUACCUUUCCCCUUCCAAUUCCAAAAUAGAAACAUAAUAACUCAUUCAGGUGAAACACUGAUGUCUGUAUUUCAAAGCAUUUUCAAAGCAAAGAAAUAGUAUGAUUCUGUUAAAAAACUAAAUUUGGAAAAGACUGGCAAAAUACCUAUGGGGAGCAAUAAAUAAAUCCCCUACAUGGAUCUUCACAAUAUGCAUUUAUAACAAAUGGUUCUAUUUCAAGCCAAGUUCUGUUAAUUGCUUUUUCUUAGUAUCCAGACAUCAUGAUUUUUAACUCUCUCUCUGAGAUCUGGAGAACAAACAUUCAUCAGCUGCCCAAUUUGUUGUGAAAACAUUAGCUCUCAAGUGAAAUUUUAACAUUUCAAAAUGUCUCUUUCACAUUAGACUUGUUUUGCCACUGUUGUAAAAUGUGUAUUCCUAUGAAAGGACACAAAAGGAUCUCUCUGCUUAAAGUCAAAUGUUUUCUAAUUGCAAGAGAAAAGAACCUGAGAAGCAGAUUUCUAUCUAACGGAACAAAGCCUUGCUUAUGCUUUCUGUGGGGAGAAGAUAUUUUUGCUAUUGAGGUGCCGAUAAUAUUUUGCUUGAAAAUAAAUUGUUUACCAUAACUAUUCUAGAUGUUACAUUACUACGGCGAGAAUGCAUUUCCUUGAUAUCACCAUACUGUGUACUCAGACAUAGAGAUUUAGAACCAUCCUACAAAUAACAAUGGCAGUAGUUAAUGUCCUCAAGAAUAAUUCAUAAUUUUUGUUGAUCAUAGAAGAAUGACUCAUGUCCAGCUCAGUAGCGGCCAGAAAGCUUUUGUGAGAAUUAAUGGUUUUGAGGCUAAUUCCUAAAGGGUAGAUAACCACACAGAAAUCUCAUCAGCGGAGCAUCCUUGUGGAACAACCAUGGCACGAGCUACCAUACAGAGGAGGAAAACGAAGCUGUUUCUGUAACUUGGAGCUCUUAUCUAGCAUUUGUAAGUCAGUUCCAAAUCUCUCCAUAUGACUGUGGGCAGAUUGCCUAGGACCAGACUCAGGUUCUUAAAGAAGGUCUCAGGCAGAAAUUAAGUGCUAAGUAGAAAACUAUAAUUCAAAAUACCCUGACAACUCUACCAAACACUGCUAUUGAUAUUGCCUUAGCACCUGCUUCUGCUUUUGAACAUGCAGAGAAAUCCUUCAGCCAUGGUAGCACGGAGCUGCUCAGCACCUGGUUGGCGCGUAGUCCGGAUCGGAAAGAGGUGUUCCUCUCCCGCAGGGAGCUUUAAUACGAAGGCAUGAACACAGCCCUAUUUCUCACUUUAUAACAGCUCACAUUUGCGUAAUUACAGCACUCUCUGAGAGCUGAGAGCUGUGCGUCUGCAGUCCAUCAGGCAGGGUCCCUGAGCCCCCGUCCUCCACGUGCCUCCCACCUGCCCAGCCAUGAACUGGUUUGUUACCACCCACGGUGUCUGCCUCCUGCUCCAGUGUUUCUUUCCUCGGCACGCUCUUUUGGCACACUGUUCUCCUUCCAGUAGGCAGGUCUAAAACGAUCAGCCAGGUGCACUAUACACAGCCUCUCCUGCUCUCCAACGGUGACCGUAGGUGUCAGAUGCAGUGUUUUGGUGUCCUUUCUUCACUCCUGGUGCUCCUAAGGAGGUGAUCCAAGUUUCAGUGAACCCAGAUCUAACUUCCUUUUCUCCUUCUUCAAAUCUGAAGUAGUAAGACAGCACAAACUUAUAAGAAUAAAUGUAUUCAAGAGUUUUCAGGUUUCAGCUCUAUGGGAAUGGGCACAGAAGGCAAUAUGGUAUGGAACGGGCAGAAAAAUGAGCAGGUUAGAUAUGCUUUUGUCUCAUGUCAUAGUUGUAGUUGAGGUAUAAAAGUGAUCAUUUGUUUUUGCUAUUCUCUGACUAAAAUGGAGGAUAAAAAGGGAUAGAGAAAAGAUCCUUAAUUGGCAAAUCUCUUAUUAUAGAAAAAUAUAAUGUCUGGACAUAUGUUUACUGCUCAUAGGUACAGCUUCUUAAAAGAAGCAAGCAGAAAUUAUCAUAAGAAUGAGUAAAACAUAGAUUUGUUACUUUAAAUUUUGAAUAAAUAGUGCUCACAACUGAAUUAAAAUAAUUUAUUAAUUUAUUUUUAUUUUGAUAAUGUGAAUAAGCCUCUUGGGAUUUGUCCACUUUAUUUUAGACUUAAUUCUACCUAUUUCUGGGAGGAUUAUAUGGGUAUUUACUUGAAAUUUGUCCUGUAAAAACCAUGCGGAUACUUUUAUUUAACCUAUAUUGAAUGAAUGAUUUGCUUGCUGCAUAAACUACCUCUUCCUUUUUGGUUUCUUUUUACCUUUUUGCUUAUGAAUUGCAGGUUCCAUAUGCCUUCAGUGAAUCAUUCUGCCUUUGCUUAUUAUUUGUACCUUGAAAGAAUUUAUAGGCUGUGAUCAUGAACCCUGAGUUUUUCUUUUUAUUUCUGUACUGUGCUAAUUUAUCUUCCUUCAGUCAUUUCUAGAAACCUUGUAUUAUUUUUGUUGAGUGUCAUUCCUAUUCGUUCAGUUCUUACAUUUCCUUCCUAAAUUUACCACAGGACUCUAUCUGGGCAAUAUCCAUCUGAUUGUAAACCACUAAAAUAUGUGUUCUUCUCCAAGCCUCUUGUUUGGUUUGCCCAUCCCUAAAUUAAAGGUUUAAGGAGCAAAGCGAAAAAAAAAAAACAUUUCUGAAGUGGUACUUAUAAAAAACAGAUAAAAAUGCUUAAUAAAUGAUAAAAAGUAGAGCAACAUUCAUGAUGAAAGUUGAUUUUCACAAUGUUCUACUGCUAACACUGUGUAGUACAAAGGCUUUUUCAACAUGGCAUUAUGACUGCUAUAAUAAAAGAAAUUGCACAAACAGUUAUCUGUGAUGCAAUGGUGUGCCGCAUCUGUCCAACGCAAGAAUGAGUUUCCUGCAUCAGUACUGUUUAUUAGCAGAUAACAGUAUUAGAGGGCAAUUCUGUAAAUAGGAUAUCACCAUUUCCUGUCACACCAAAAUUAAAUCAGGGAGCAAGAAGAGUAUUUUUUUAAAAAUAAACCGCUUCAUUUUAUGCUGAUUUGUCUUCUUCUUGAUAUGUCUUCUAAUUAAAGCUGUGCCAGCUUUUGAGGAAACAACAGCAAAUGCACCCAGUUCAUUUCUUGUUACCUGAUCACACGUUACAUGGUGCCCAAUUACUAUGACCUAAAGAAAAACAAAAAAAACCCCACUAAUUAAAAAUGGUGAUAUCAGUAGGUUAGAAGUUCAUUGAUGGGUGAAUACUUCCUUCUCCUAAGACAUAUGACUUAGAAAAAGAUUUUUAGAAGGAAACAACAAAAGGGAAUUGAAGAAGAAACUAAAGAAAGACCACGAAAAGAGAAAGAAACAGAAAUUCUAAUAUUAGAGUUGGAAUAAAAGAUACUUCACAGAUUCAUAGAACGUGACUUUCUUCCAGUUUACAGUCCUUUUUGCUUCCUAUGAUAAGCCCUCAGGACCAUAUUACCAAAUCACAUAGGAACCAAAUUCAACAGAGCUGCUGGGCUCCCCUGAAACAUUCACCAAGGUCACUCCUAAAAGCAGAUGGAUUGAAAUAGGAGUGAAGGGUGAUGGGUUAAAACAGCCAGCUCAAACUCCCACAGCAAAAUUGUGGAACCAGCAUAAAAUUCAGCACUACUUGAAUUUGUUACUUACUUAAUUCACUUAUGGAUAUGUUUUGGCUGGUUCAUUUUACCCAGGGAAUGUUUUACAGCACAACUACUCAACCUCCAAAGGUUAACUACUCAAACUCCAGUAGUUACACUAGACAGUACAUACCUCAAGUAAGGUGCCAUCAGGCUCCUCUUUCCAUUAGGAGCUACUAAGUUCAUUAAGGGUCUGGAGCAUCUGACAUACGUGGAAAGGCUGAGACAGCUGGGACUGUUUAGCCUGGAGCUCCAGGGCAUCUUAUCAGUGUAUACAAAUAUCUGAAGGGAAGAUAUAAUGAAAACAGAGCCAGACUCUUUUCAGUGGCUCCCAGUGACAGGACAAGAGGCAACGGGCACAAACUGAAACACAGGAAGCUUCGUCUGAACAUGAGGAAAAACUCCUUUACAGUGAAGGUGACUGAGCACUGGAACAGGUUGCCCAGAGAGGAGGUGGAGUCUCCAUCCUUGGAGAUAUUCAAAAGCCAUCUCAACAAGGUCCUAGACAACAUACUCUAGGUGACCCUGCUUGAGCAGGGGGGUCAGACUGGAUAAUCUCCAGAGGUCCCUUCCAACCUCAGCUAUUCUGUGACUCUGAGACUCAGUUCCUCUGCUGUGAUUCUGGUAUAGGCCUUCUCCCAUACUCAUUGACCAAUAUUUAGAUAAGUUGUGCAUCAAGGUAGAGAAGAAUUUUCCAUUUUGCAUAAUAUUUCCACAGUUAUGAUCAAGAAAAUAUUCCAGGUUCAAAGCCUUUCUGGGUUUGCUGGUGGAUUGUUGUCCCUUGGCUCUGGACCUCGGUCCAGCUUUAGGAGACAGUGCAGAUCUCAUUAUUUUCUAACCUUUCAGGAGAGAGGGACAUGACAAGAUUUUUGCUCAAGGGAAGACUGAAUAUAUUUUUGGAUCUAUCAGUUUUCUGCCUGGUUAACUCUGGCUAUGUAUGUGAAGGUAGGCUGGUGGAGUCACUGGAAUAUGUGUAUUUUUUUUGUGUGGAAUUGUCAAAAUCAAACAAAGCAAUGGGUAUGUGUUAUUUCCUUCUCUAUGUAAAUCAAAAAACUAAUCAGUUCAUGGUGCUACUCACUGCAUGCUUUGUAAUAAUAAGCAGCAUUUAAUGUUUUAUUUGCUUCGAAGAGUAACAUUGGGAACAACUACACAAAAUAAUCAUUCUUAGAGAGUCCCUUCAGCAAAAUAGAUAUUCUCAAAGUCUAAAAAUAACAGCAACACAAUUAAGAAGAAUCCCUCCAGUUUUAUUAUGCUGAAUCAUAACCUCAGAUGGCAUCCAAUUUUAAUCUUCUAUUUGUU